RNAcentral lists this long non-coding RNA (228 nucleotides) under Olea europaea (common olive). RNAcentral describes it as "long non-coding RNA (OEUR_LNC007958)". The record is from RNAcentral. Lineage: Eukaryota; Viridiplantae; Streptophyta; Magnoliopsida; Lamiales; Oleaceae.
AAUUAUGCAAAUCUGAAAUUAAUUAUUAGAACUUUGAAUAUGAGAUUAAACAUUUGAAGUACUUGUGAACCCAAUUAAUUUCAUCGAAGUAGACGUCAAUUACUUAACAUCGGCCGUUCAUUGAAGUCGCAAAAGUUAGAUAGCAUGUAGCUAUUGCAAGGAGCUACAAUUAUUAUACAAAGCUAAGUUGUUCAUUCACUUAACACGCACACAAAAUGCCUUAAAGCU